Molecule: ribosomal RNA, 301 nt
Filed under: uncultured bacterium
Lineage: Bacteria
Description: partial 16S ribosomal RNA
Rfam family: Bacterial small subunit ribosomal RNA
Source: RNAcentral
CAGCAGCCGCGGUAAUACAGAGGGUGCAAGCGUUAAUCGGAAUUACUGGGCGUAAAGCGCGCGUAGGUGGUUCGCCAAGUUGGAUGUGAAAUCCCCGGGCUCAACCUGGGAACUGCAUCCAAAACUGGCGAGCUAGAGUAUGGUAGAGGGUGGUGGAAUUUCCUGUGUAGCGGUGAAAUGCGUAGAUAUAGGAAGGAACAUCAGUGGCGAAGGCGACCACCUGGACUGAUACUGACACUGAGGUGCGAAAGCGUGGGGAGCAAACAGGAUUAGAUACCCGUGUAGUCCCUGUCUCUUAUAC